This 65-nucleotide transfer RNA is filed under the name Prymnesium neolepis. Lineage: Eukaryota; Haptophyta; Prymnesiales; Prymnesiaceae. The record is from RNAcentral.
CGUGAUCGCGGGCUUGCUGGGCGCCAGUCCGCAAGUGCUGGCUUCCCUUGCGCCCAAAUCGGUGA